This is a long non-coding RNA of Sceloporus undulatus (fence lizard), 8163 nucleotides long. RefSeq lists it as uncharacterized. The transcript is spliced from 4 exons. The record is from RefSeq and is a predicted model, not a curated record. NCBI's taxonomy places the organism in Eukaryota, Metazoa, Chordata, Lepidosauria, Squamata, Phrynosomatidae.
CUUUCACAAUAAUAGGAUUAGAGAUCAAAAUAACAAAUAUAACUACGAAGCUGAAUACACAAAGUUAAAAAGACAGGAAUCAGAGACAGUAACGUGAGGAAUACCAGGAAACUGUAGGGAAAAGAAAGAAUGAACAGACAGGAGGAAAAAAGAAACAACAGUGUUGUCCCCUUGUACAGCAACCUCGAGGCAGUGAUAAUUCCAGGAGGAUUGUUUAUGAUUUCUUCCUCUGAUUAAGGUUCUGAAACCCCAGAUGGAUUAUGUUCUGGAUCAUGAGGGAGCCAAGUGCACAGACGUCUCUACUGGAAGGCUUUCCUAUUGCAAGAGUUCACUGUGCAGCAUUUACUGGGCCGGGCCAGUGGUACAACCAUGCUACCCUUUCAAUUGUGUGUAACACGGAAGAAGAAUCCAGACUUCUCUUGGAGGCGGGAAAGAAGAAAGACAGGCCAAGCAGAACAACAUAAUACAUGACCAAGAUUAAAUAAAAAGACGAUGGAAGCAAUACACAGAAGAACUAUAUAAAAGAGAAGAAAGGAUGAAUGUUAUAUGGGAAGAAGAAGCAUAUGAAAAAGAACCCUAAAGUAUGGAAAGUAAAAGUGGCACUCUAAACAAUUGGGAAGAAUAAGUUAACAGGAACAGAUGACAUACCAAUGGAACUCCUGCCUUCUAAACAGUUCUAACUAAAAUUUGUCAACAAAUAUGGAAAACAAAGCAAUGGCCUCCAGAGUGGAAACGGUCAAUAUACAUCCCCAUCCACAAAAAGAGGAGACACAAAAGAGUGCAGCAACUACAGAACCAUUGCAUUAAUUUCCUAUGCAAACAAAAUCAAGCUUAAACUUCUGCAGCAGAGACUCCAUAUAUGAAGUGAGAAAUUACAGAGGUGCAAGUUAAGUUCAUGAAAGGAAAAACAACAGAUAAGCUACAGGAAUUCUAGAUUUCCCAUACACUGUCUCAAUCAUGGAUCAGAAGAGGGACUGCAGUCAAGAAAUCAGAAGAAGUCUAGGGUUGAGAACGGCAGCUAUGAAGUUACCUAAACAAGGUGCAAAGACAUUAAACUGAAUACCAAAGUUAGGAUCGUCCAAGCUAUUGUAUUCCACAUCACCAUGUGCCGAUGUGAGAGCUGGAGAGUGAAGAAAGCAGAUAGAAAGAAAAUCAACUCAUUUGAGAUAUUCUGGAAAAGAGUGCUGAGCAUACCAUGGAUGGCCAAAACAAGAAGCAAGUGGGUCCUAGAACAGAUCAAGCCUGACCUAUCCCUGGAAGCCAAGAUGACUAAAGUGAGGUUGUAAUAUUUCGGCCACGAAAGAGAUGACACUAGAAAAGACAAAAAUACUACAAAAGGUGGAGGGCAAUAGAAAGAGAGGAAGGUCACAUAUCAGAUGGAUAGACUCAAUCAAGGUGGGCAAGACCCUGAGCCUACAGGACCUAGGCAGAACAGUUAAGAAUAGGAGGUCUUGGGGGUGUCACAUUCACAGGGUCACCAUGAGUUGAAGUCAACUCAAGUACAGUUAACAACAACAACACAAGCAAAACAUUCACUGAAAACAUUAGUGGUAUUGCCUCUCCUCCCAGCUAUUUCUUCUCAAGGCCAUUUUCUUUGUUCAACACAGUGGCAUCACUAGGGUUGGUGUCACCUGGUGCAGUAACUCAUGGUGUCACCCCCUUAUUGAUCUUCUUCCAUACCACUAAAAUCCUUAGUAAUGUUUUUUGUACUAAUGUUACUCAUAAAUCAUAAUUCAGGUAUAUCACUGAAUAUAAUGGUAACAGUUGGACAUCAACAACAAGCAAAAUUAAAAGUAUGCCUUUAAAUCAUAAUAUCAUAUGCAUAGCCUGAAGGUAUUUACAGGCAUAUCAUUUCAUGUAAUUAAAAUGAACAUUUGGAAAGAUGUGAUUUAUUUUAAAGAAAAAUUUAAAAGAAUUAAAAAAAUCAAUUUUUUAAUUAAAAAUAAUAAUUCCUUAAAAUACCUGGGGCCUCUCCUUUCUCCUCCCACUGAGUGUCACCCCACUUACACCAUCUCUUCAGCACAUUUCUGCCUCAAGGCAGAUGUUUGAGGAGCAGUGGUGUCUCACACAUACACACCCCCACACACACCUUAAGGUGUUAUCUUGUGUGGUCUGUAUCGCACAGUUCCUAGUGAUGUCCCUGGUUUACAAUCUUCACGAGGCCUACUUGAAAUAAAACUACAUACAAGAUGUUGUCCUUACCCCAGUUGCAUCUCCAGAAGCUGACCAGUCUGGCAUUUGAAUCAACACUAGUGAUAAGAAGUGUUCUUUACACUUGAAGAUGGUAGCUAGCUUAGGUGAUACAGGACAAGUUGUGAUCUGUAUAUAAUGUUAGUCUCUCAACACAUCACUUCUGUUUUCUCCCCCUUCAGACACACACCCACACACACCCCAGGUAGGCAUCUGCUGACAAACAUAGUGAACUCAUUUGUCUUUGUUUCCCGACAUCACCAUUUAAUUCUAUUGUCUGGCGUGACUGACAGUUUUACUUAUCCGCUAUGCUAUCUGUCAUGUGGUUCAGGCAGACAUUAGACUAAACUACAAUACAGUCGGCCCUCCACAUUUGCAGCUUUGACUUUUGAGGAUCUGAUUAUACAUAGAUUUGACUAAUGCGUUAUCUCUAGUAAUCUCUAGGUCCUCCAGAACGACAUUAUGGUCAAUGUCCACCAGAACUCAUGCUGGAGGAACUACAGAUUUCUAGAGAGAACACUUAGGCAUUUGGAGGUCCUCCAGCACAGUUCUAUGGUCAACAUCCAGCAGAUGUUGGCCACAGACUUGUUCUGGAAGGCCUAGAGAUUUCUAGAGAGGUGUUCUCUCAGGUAAAAAUAGUGAGUUUUUUUAGUUGCGGGGGUCUUUCACAGGGUCUUGCACCCCUAACCCCAGUAAAUGUGGAAGGCCUGUAUAAAAAAACAGGGACGUAAAAUAACAUACAAAGGAUGGAUGUGUUCACACAAUAAAGAAAAACUGGUGGAGACAGAGGACGUUUUUGAGAUGAAGUCAUUUCAACACAACUGUACUUUGAAUUUCUCACAGAAAUUUUUUUUGAAGAGAUCCUAAACAUGUGCAUAAACACAUGAAUCUUAGGCUCAACUGAAAAACCAUUCCAGAUAUUCUAUAGGCACAUAUAUAAGUCAAAAUGUCCCAUCACAUGCAGCUUUAACAUGUCAGGCAACCAUAUCUAAGGGCAGAGCACACUGGGAUUUUAACAAUGAACAUAUACAGCCCGUAUGAAAUAGGUAAGAUACCUGCCCCACUCAUCCCAUUCCUAACAAACAUGCCUACUUCAUGUUUAAAACCAGAUGUAAAUACAUAAUUGCAACACUGAAUCUGUGAAAUUCAGUAGUUUUAUGCAGUAUUUCUCAGAACACCACAAAGUUGCCUCAGAACUUUUACUAACAUGUCUAGGAGCCAAAAAGGUCCAUCCUAGUGAGAAAAACAAACACCUUAAACCCAGCACUCUCAAGAAAUAUUAAGUGCAAGGAUGACGAAAGUACAGUGGAAAUUAGACUUUUGUGAAUGACUCACUGAAAUGAAGAGGCUUUUAAAGAAAAAGGUAUUCUUAAUCUAUCUGCAUCUCUCCUUUCUGACAGGAAAAACAUGUUAAUAUAUUUAGAAUGCUGCUAUCUUUUCUUUCUUACAUGAUGCUAACUAAAGGCAGUGCACAAAGUUUCCAGGUACAGCUCAGAGCUGCAUUUGCUUUCCUUUAACAUGGCAAUUACGUCAUGAGUUUUCAGACUGUGCCCUUGACCAGAUAUGCAAAGAAUAUUCAUGUUUUCUUACUGUUGUAGUUGACUUGAAGAUGUUUGGCAUCUAGGGAUUUGGAGGCAAAAUUUUAAUUUCUUAAAAAAAUGCAUUUGGUGCAUAUGUAAUUUUGUGUACAUAUGUUACAUUUACCCCAAAUACAAUUUUUUACACACGAUGCAAUGUUUUUGAAUGAACUAAACAUGCACAAAAGAGUCUCAAAGUAUUUUAAAAAUCAUACAAAAAACUUACACUAAAAUGCUUGCAAUCCAGCAGGAAGAAAACAUUUGAAACUUUUCAUUCUCAUCUGCAAGAAUGAAAUAAGCGCACUCUUGCUCUUAAUUUGUUUACCCCUUGAAUGGUUUGUUGCUGGAGAAUUCCUGGAUCUUCAUGGAUUAAGUCCUGGAUAAGUGUGAUGUGUCUGAAAAUCUUUGGCACAAUUGCAUGACUUUGCCAGGAAUAUGCCUUUUUCUUCCCCAAUUUCACCCGUCUCUCCCCCACCCCAUUUGAUAAUCUCCCUUUAAACUCCAAUCAAAGGAGAGGGAAAUAGGGUGCUAGCCAUUUCUAAAUGGUCCCCCAACUCAAUAGUGGAGAAGCUGGUGAGUAGACUUGCAAAUUCAACUACCCUAGUGCAGAAAGAACAUUGCUAGUCUCUUAAGAGAUUGGAAAUAGGAUAUAAUGGUAUAAACAUAGUACAUAAAAUACAAGGGCGAGAAACCACAGUGAGUCCAGGACUCUGGGAACAACAUAGACUGACAAAAAUGCCAACAGUGAAACAUGCAAGGCAAGACAUGACAAGGAAUCCACUUCUGCUUUUGAGAAAUAUAGGGGAUAAUGUUAAAUGGGGCGGGGGGGACGGGACACAUCCUAUUUAAAAGAUGAACUGCUCCUGUUGGAUGCUUCUAAGAGAUGGCAGAUCACCCACUCUUUCCCUUUGUUUUUGCCAGAAAAGACUGGUGUGGGGAAUCUGAAGGGGGCCAAGGACCACAUAAGCACAUUGAGGACUAUUUAAACAGCCUUGAUGAACAUCUUGGGGAUUAUUUCAACAACCUUGACUCACUCUGUAAAAGAGCACAACUGCUCCAUCCAUUUAUAUUUCACAGACAUUCAUUUCUGGAUUAAUUUUAUCCAGAACUCAGUUUCUCUCUAUCACAAGCCAGUCAACUAUUGCAGAGAGACAGCUGCUUUUGCACUUGUACUUGUAAAAGGCUGCACUUGGAGACUUAUCUGUCUGAAUGGAUGCACAUGGAACUGUGCUGCAUAUACUUGGCUGGCAAAAUUCAAAUUGGUACAAAUUCCAUUAUGCCUUGACCACUUACCUUUGGGCCCAUUUCCUGCUGGUCUGUUGCCUACAAGGUCCAUCCCAAAUUGGAAUCUGGGCCACAAGACAAGAAAGUUUCCUCACUUCUGUUAUGAAGCCAAAUGAUAGGUUGCAUAACUCUUUAUGGCACAUCUACUCAAGGAUGUUGGGUAACCUUCAUCUAUGGGUUGACAUCAUCCCACUGCAGAAAACCAACAACCCUGACUUUUGUCAUAAGACAACCAAGUCAGAAAUUAAAAGUCUCAGCAGCUGGUUAGUGGCUACAUGAAUCAGACCAACAGAAUAAAAGACUGUUUGGAGCUACAACACAAUAUGAAAUGUACUAGAUUUCAUAACAUUACUAUCUUCAAAUGAUGUCUGCCUGAAGAUUCAGUUCAUUCAAUAUUUCAGAUUCAUGAAUGAAUGAAACCUGCCAAGCAUGUUUCAGAGAACAGCUCUUCUGCAGCUAUAAUUAAAAAGAAUACUUAGCCCAAAUCCUGCAGAAAAAUGUUCCCCCUCUUAGCACAAGUAUUUGUUCUGCACAAAAGCAGUUUAACUAGUAAGAUUGAAGGGCAAAACCUCUUUCACUCUCUCUUGCUUUUCUUCCCAUGGAAAAUGUGAACCAAGCAAAAAUGCAAAAGCAAUGGUCAAGAUGGCAAAAACUAUAGACGAGGAAGAAGAGGACACAAGUUUGGAGAGGCUGGAGCAGUUUGCUUUUGCCUGAGUCUACUGGGAAGGGCAAGGUUCUGCACUCUCUAUUCAUCUCCCUCCUACUGAGUUGAGCACAAAUUAUAUUUCUAUGUUAAACUCAAUUUCCAAUUGAAAUAAGUCAAGAAUAAAUGGAGAAAAUGGUUGAAGGAGAGAGAAACUGAGAGAUUUUGAAAGCAGCAAAAAGUGGGAUGGCAGAAGAUUAAAUGGGACUGUCCGCUAAAUCAGGACAGUUGAAUUGUAUGAAGUUCCUGCAGUUCCCUUGCUUAUUAUGAAAGGAAACCAACCACAACAGUUCUGUUGAGGGGGAUACUGGGAGAAGAGAGAAAGGAAGUUGAUAAGACUCUGCAUUUCUUGAAGGUUUCAUCCCCAGAGUUAAAGGCUACCCUCAGCCUUUACUUUCUGCCCAAGGAGUUUAUCACACGGAGGAAAUACCAUGCAGAAACUGGAUUUAAAAGCUGGGGGGGAAACGCAAAAGUGGGCUGAUUUUCACACAUGUCGUUGUUAAACUGGUGUUAACCUGAACAGAAAGUAGACACAGCCAUACCUUUUUACUUUUGAGAUUUUCUGAAAGUAAAAAGGAGCAGCUUUUGUCUACUUUCCAUCUACUUUCUGUUUAGGUUAACAUCACUUUUAACGGCGAGGUUGUAUAAAAAUGUUUCUGGUUUAAACUCCCAUUUCUGCAUGGGAUUUCUGCCUAAGAUGUGUUCAUUUCCUGCUUGAAAGAAACCUUCCCUGCACAUUAAGAAUCUUCCUGUUCUUUAUUGUGCUGUAUAUGAAGGCCAAGAACUAAUAUAGCAAAAAGGCUGGAACAAAGUAAAUCUUGACUCUGCUUUAAGAGAGAGGAAGGCAGAACAUUGAUCAUUGUCUGCUUAAAAAAUGAUGCACUGUUAUGUGAUACUAAUUUAGGUAGUAUAACCUUCAGCUCCAGAUCCAAAUUGGAACCUGACCCUUUAACCAUGAUCAGCAGCUCUGCCAUUGUUACAAAAAGCCAGCUGCCUUUCAGGAACGACUGAAGUUGGGCAUUGGUUUUUCUUCCCUUUUCCCUUCCUCAUUUAGGAUCCUUUCCAGCCAGAUCUCACUGAAGCACUUCCUCAGAUGUCAGUCAAACCACUACAGAGAUAAAGGCUUCAGUGUCUGAAUACAGAAAUCAAAGCACACUGAGCUGCAUCCAAAAAGCAAAUGUACCAAGCUCCACAGCAGCCAAAAUAAAGUAUACUAUAGGAGCACCAGUCAACCAUCACAGUCAGAGAAUUUUCAGAUAUCUUCAGAUACUGGGGAAAGGGGGGGGGGGGGGUUCCACAUCUUAUGGCACCCUCUAGUGUGUUACUAGUGCAAAGUACAUGCAGUGUGCACUUCCUAUCCUUUUCAUUAACAGAAGCAUUAAUUACCAUGUUUAAUAAGGAAUUUCUCCUACCAAAUGCGUUGGACAUUAGCACAGCAUACACAUGUAUAGCAACAUGCCUAGCAAGCACCUCAGGAGCAUCAUGGGAUCAUGACAAAAUUUGGGGCAAAACCAUUCUCUCCCAGGAGUGCCCUAUGCACAUACCUUACCAUCACAAAACAGUUUGGUCCAGAUCUUGUUACUGUCACUGCUUUUGACUACAAAGUUCUGGGGAACGUAGUUCAAAAAAUUACAUCUUCCAAGCUCUGAUUUCAUCCAUUAGUGACACAAAUCAGGCAAAUCAUGAAUAUACAGCCUUCAUGUUCAGCUAUAUGUCCCUAGCAAUGGGUAUGAAAAUUCAGCUGGCUUAUUCCAACCAUGGUUCUAUUCAGUCCCAAACUAUCUACUCUAAGAUCAUCAAUUCAAGGUCUUCAGCAUACAGAUCACACUGCAUUUUAUGCAACUUCAAUUUUAAACAUCAUGUAGUUUUUACUUUAGGUUUAGAGAAUUACUAUUAUAAAAUGAAUGAAACAAAUGCAACCAGUUCCAUUCAGUAUUUAUAAAAGUGUGGGAUUUCAGGUACAGUACAUGGAUUAUGCUACAGCUGCCCUUGAUCUGUCUUCAUCCUUUCUGACAAAAGAACAAUGCAUGGAAAGGCUCUUACGUCAUGCCUGAACUUAGGUUAUAGCAUUGUUGGUUUGGAGAGGCUCUUUAUAUCUUCUGGUUCAUCUACCAGCAUGUGGAUCAAGUGAAGAUCUCCCAUCUCAUGACCAGUCUAAUCAAAUGCUACCUACAAAACUAACUUGACAGAUAUGGACAUGACAUAAUUGAGUUACACUGUACAGUAACCAAAGUAGUUUUAAGUCAAUAGUAUGGUGGAGGAUACCCAAUGAGAUCUUCCUUCCAAAGGGUUUAUUACAGUUUGCCAUAGAAGCCAUGAUUUAAGCUUGCUGAAGAUGACAUCAUAAGAAAUGUACUGUUAUACCACCACGUUAUACUACUAUAUAACCCUGAAAAUGUUAACUUUUGU